GGAUUUAGGUGUCCACAUCUAAACACACGGUGAUACACAGAACACAGGCAGAGAUCUGCUUUGUGAUUGUGGUUCCCCAGGAAAGCUUCUUGUAUACUCAUAAACCCGCACGACGAUGAGAGGGAGCGCUGAGGGGAUCGGCUGGCCCUAUGCUCCAUAUUCACAGAAGCAGGAUGAGGCUGGGAAGCCUGCUGAGAAAAUGGUGUCGUAAUCAGGAGCCGGCAGUUCUGCCUGAUCAGAGUGUGGCGAGGGGUACAAGGGAGGUGGGUGGUGGCGCUUGGACCUCAUCUCCCAGGAAGCUCUCUGCGCUCCGGAAACCUGAGCUUCAGCUUGUUAAGACAAUGAAGGGAACACGUGAGGCUCUGGCACAUGGUGGCUAGGGUUACCUGUUCGCGGUGAACUUUUGGCCCUUGGAGCAAAACCUCCCCACCCUUAUGACUCCUGCACUGCUCCACCUGUAUCCCUGCUCUCUGUCCUCCCUUCGAUCGACAAAAGACUGCCUGGGCCCCUGCCAUCAGAUCUCCAUCCAUCCACAGGUUUGGGCCUGAAAGACGUGCCAGACCUGCUGCCAAAGCAUUGGCCUCCACCUCACCCUGCAGACAUUGCUGAAAACUCAUGCAAGCAUACACACACAAACACGCACGCACACACACAGUGUUCAAAAUAUCUCUAUGUUUUCAAGCACACUACCUCUUUUUUUACAUACAUCCACCAUGCACAUGUACCAAUGACAUUUUCCUCUGCCUACACACACAUUCUUGCCAUCUCUACUCUGUGUCUAUCUCUGUCUGUGAUGAUGGAGUCGACACACGCGUGUCAUGGCUCAUGUCACACGUAGACAAGAUCGAGCCGCGUUCACACGGUCUCCCUCGACACAAACGUAAACACACACUCGUUCGGUUUUUCAGUUGUCUCUCAGGCAUUUCCUAUUUUUAAAACAGUACGCAACACACCUACACACAUUCUCCCAUGCUUGGGCACACCCACAGCCGCCCAUGUCAUGCUGCGAGACAGUCCUUGUCUCGGGGAACACCCUCGCACACUUGUAACGCAGGAAAACAUUUGUCAGGUGAAGUAAAUCUAGACACCUGACACUAGUGGUCUCUCUUUGCAUUUGCUUGCACCACCGCCUCCAUACUUAAUGGCACAGCACCUACUGAUUAUUGUAUGCUUUGAGCUAGUCUGGUAAUUGCGCGGUACAUACCUGUCCAGGGUGUAAGCCCAUCCGCAGAACAUAGGGCCUCUCUGUUAAAUGGCUCACUGUAUUGUCGUAACUGAGAGAUGGAGCCUCCUCUCUGUCAUUCACUGUCAGUCAUUGUCUGUGAUGCAUGUGUGCCGCAGUUUAAAAGUCUAUUCAUAGAAAGGAGUGCACGUUCAUAUUUUCAAUCAGCUGGAGAAAUUAAAUCUCAAAUAACCUGUAUUCCACGAGCUCAGAAGCUCAAGAUAACACAGAGAACGAGAAUCACCCCUGCAAAUGUGAAGUCAUGAUUUUCAACAGUCAUUUGGCAUUUUCUUAAACCUGAGGUUAUUUUCAUGACAUCUGAAUGAGUCAGACUCCGUGCAUGUGUUUGUGUGAUGGUGCAAAUGCAAAUAUCACAUUAUUUUGUCUGGUUCAUCUUAUCAAUAUCCUUCUUAUCUAUGAAUCGGAGACAUUGAGACAUAGAUGCUGAAUCGUUCUCUGUGUAUCACAGCGUCAGGCUUUUGACUUUCAUGUCACAAUUAUGAAACUAUUCUUUUUGACAGUCUUUUAUGGCCUGGUAAGGCGGUAUAGGAAAAGGACAAUCAGAUGAAAAAGAGAUACAAAGGGUCGAAGUAAACAAAGCCUCACGGAGAGAUCAAACUAUCAUAUUUCAGAGUAUUUAGCAGCUUGUUGCAGGGUGAAGCAAACUGGAAUGAGGAGUGGCUGCAGAAGUUUGCCACACAAGCUCUGUGUGAGAACAUACUGACAGUACUGACUAACUCAAACAUAGUACAUACAGUAGCCUACAUUUAGAGGUGCACUGAGGCCAAAUGCAGAAAAUAAUUCAAUUGAACAUGUUUUAUGUUGCACUGCAUUGUUGUUGCUUAGUAAUUAACGAUUUUCUGUGCAAUCUUUGAUGUUAUUAUUUUAAUGUCAGUGCCCUUUGUGUACGCAGGCCACAUGGGCCUAAAGGAGCAUCACAUCAACAUGUAUGUACCCUCAUAUCUACCCUUUUUUAUUUUGAUCUGCCUAAAACAACCAUAAACAAUAUAA
Molecule: long non-coding RNA, 2233 nt
Organism: Cottoperca gobio
Lineage: Eukaryota; Metazoa; Chordata; Actinopteri; Perciformes; Bovichtidae
Exons: 5
Source: RefSeq, a predicted model, not a curated record